This 2058-nucleotide ribosomal RNA is filed under the name Arthrobacter sp. NicSoilC5. RNAcentral's name for it is "partial 23S ribosomal RNA". It matches the Rfam family "Bacterial large subunit ribosomal RNA", at positions 3 to 1865 of the family's 2925-position model. The record is from RNAcentral. Lineage: Bacteria; Bacillati; Actinomycetota; Actinomycetes; Micrococcales; Micrococcaceae.
UCAAGUUUUUAAGAGCACACGGUGGAUGCCUUGGCAUUAGGAGCCGAAGAAGGACGUAGGAAUCUGCGAUAAGCCUGGGGGAGUCGAUAACCGGACUGUGAUCCCAGGGUGUCCGAAUGGGGAAACCCCGCCAAGCGCGCGAGUGACUUGGUGACCCGUACCUGAACACAUAGGGUGCGUGGGGGGAACGCGGGGAAGUGAAACAUCUCAGUACCCGCAGGAAGAGAAAACAAUAGUGAUUCCGUUAGUAGUGGCGAGCGAACGCGGAUCAGGCUAAACCGUUCCAUGUGUGAUAGCCGGCGGGCGUUGCAUGGUCGGGGUUGUGGGACUUUCCAUACCAGUUCUGCCGGGCUGGUGGGGUGUGAUGUGCGCGCAUAGGUGAACGGUUUUGAAAGGCCGGCCAGAGAGGGUGUUAGUCCCGUAACCGUAAUGUGUUUGUACCGCCUGUGAGAGUAUCCCAAGUAGUACGGGGCCCGAGAAAUCCCGUGCGAAUCUGUCAGGACCACCUGAUAAGCCUAAAUACUCCCUAAUGACCGAUAGCGGACCAGUACCGUGAGGGAAAGGUGAAAAGUACCCCGGGAGGGGAGUGAAACAGUACCUGAAACCGUGUGCUUACAAUCCGUCGGAGCCAGUCUGAUUCUGGUGACGGCGUGCCUUUUGAAGAAUGAGCCUGCGAGUUAGUGUUACGUCGCGAGGUUAACCCGUGUGGGGCAGCCGUAGCGAAAGCGAGUCUGAAUAGGGCGUGUGAGUGGCGUGAUCUAGACCCGAAGCGAAGUGAUCUACCCAUGGCCAGGUUGAAGCGACGGUAAGACGUCGUGGAGGACCGAACCCACUUCAGUUGAAAAUGGAGGGGAUGAGCUGUGGGUAGGGGUGAAAGGCCAAUCAAACUUCGUGAUAGCUGGUUCUCCCCGAAAUGCAUUUAGGUGCAGCGUUGCGUGUUUCUUGCUGGAGGUAGAGCUACUGGAUGGCUAAUGGGCCCUACAAGGUUACUGACGUCAGCCAAACUCCGAAUGCCGGUAAGUGAGAGCGCAGCAGUGAGACUGUGGGGGAUAAGCUUCAUAGUCGAGAGGGAAACAGCCCAGACCACCAACUAAGGCCCCUAAGCGUGUGCUAAGUGGGAAAGGAUGUGGAGUUGCCCAGACAACCAGGAGGUUGGCUUAGAAGCAGCCACCCUUAAAAGAGUGCGUAAUAGCUCACUGGUCAAGUGAUUCCGCGCCGACAAUGUAGCGGGGCUCAAGUACACCGCCGAAGUUGUGGCAUUCAGAUAUUUAGCUAAGCCCUUGUGGUUCAGGCGUCUGGAUGGGUAGGGGAGCGUCGUGUGGGCAGUGAAGUCGCGGUGUAAACCAGCGGUGGAGCCUACACGAGUGAGAAUGCAGGCAUGAGUAGCGAAAGACGGGUGAGAAACCCGUCCGCCGAAUGAUCAAGGGUUCCAGGGUCAAGCUAAUCUGCCCUGGGUAAGUCGGGACCUAAGGCGAGGCCGACAGGCGUAGUCGAUGGACAACGGGUUGAUAUUCCCGUACCGGCGAAAAACCGUCCAUGUUGAACAGGGGAUACUAACCGCCCGAGACCUGCCUGACACCCCUUGUGGGUGAAGGGUUUUGGUGGAGCGCGGGACCUGAUCCUGGGAGGCAAGCGUAUUAACAGGUGUGACGCAGGAAGGUAGCCGAGCCGGGCGAUGGUUGUCCCGGUCUAAGGAUGUAGGGCGAGUGGUAGGCAAAUCCGCCACUCAUAUAGCCUGAGAUCUGAUGGGACCCCCGUUUGGGGGGAUUUGGUGAUCCUAUGCUGCCGAGAAAAGCAUCGACGCGAGGUUUUAGCCGCCCGUACCCCAAACCGACACAGGUGAUCAGGUAGAGAAUACUAAGGCGAUCGAGAGAAUUAUGGUUAAGGAACUCGGCAAAAUGCCCCCGUAACUUCGGGAGAAGGGGGGCCCCAACCUUGAACGGACUUCGCGUCCGGGAGGGGAUCGGGGCCGCAGAGACCAGGGGGAAGCGACUGUUUACUAAAAACACAGGUCCGUGCGAAGUCGCAAGACGAUGUAUACGGACUGACUCCUGCCCG